CAGCAGCCGCGGUAAUACAGAGGGUGCGAGCGUUAAUCGGAUUUACUGGGCGUAAAGCGUGCGUAGGCGGCUUCUUAAGUCGGAUGUGAAAUCCCUGAGCUUAACUUAGGAAUUGCAUUCGAUACUGGGAAGCUAGAGUAUGGUAGAGGAUGGUAGAAUUCCAGGUGUAGCGGUGAAAUGCGUAGAGAUCUGGAGGAAUACCGAUGGCGAAGGCAGCCAUCUGGCCUAAUACUGACGCUGAGGUACGAAAGCAUGGGGAGCAAACAGGAUUAGAUACCCGUGUAGUCCCUGUCUCUUAUAC
RNAcentral lists this ribosomal RNA (301 nucleotides) under uncultured bacterium. RNAcentral's name for it is "partial 16S ribosomal RNA". It matches the Rfam family "Bacterial small subunit ribosomal RNA", at positions 509 to 807 of the family's 1533-position model. The record is from RNAcentral.